RNAcentral lists this ribosomal RNA (253 nucleotides) under uncultured bacterium. RNAcentral describes it as "partial 16S ribosomal RNA". It matches the Rfam family "Bacterial small subunit ribosomal RNA", at positions 524 to 776 of the family's 1533-position model. The record is from RNAcentral.
UACAGAGGGUGCGAGCGUUAAUCGGAAUUACUGGGCGUAAAGCGCGCGUAGGCGGCUUUGCAAGUCGAGUGUGAAAUCCCCGGGCUUAACCCGGGAACUGCAUUCGAGACUGCAUAGCUAGAGUAUGGGAGAGGGAAGUGGAAUUUCAGGUGUAGCGGUGAAAUGCGUAGAUAUCUGAAGGAACACCGGUGGCGAAGGCGGCAUCCUGGACCGGCAUUGACGCUGAGGCGCGAAAGCCAGGGGAGCAAACGGG